Non-coding RNA from Ictalurus punctatus (channel catfish), 764 nucleotides. Lineage: Eukaryota; Metazoa; Chordata; Actinopteri; Siluriformes; Ictaluridae. The record is from the annotation of a RefSeq genome assembly.
AUGCUGGAAUCCAUGGAGGAAGAAGAGAAAGAGUGGAGGUUUCAGGAAGUGGGGGAGAGAGUGUCAUUGUGUCGUAUCACAUCCUCCAACUCAGCACCUGCAGUCGCUCCCAGCUGCAGCAGUGCAAGCAGCAGGGUUUUUGUACGGCCACUAAACCUGUUUGUAUCACUGUGGUGCACUUUCGGUGGAGGAACUAAACUGUCUGUGGGCCGCCUCACCCAGCCCAGUGUGACGGUGUUGCCCCCCUCCAGUGUGGAGCUGCAGCAGGAGAAGGUCACACUCGUGUGUGUGGCCUACAAGGGCUUCCCCUCCGACUGGAGGCUGAGCUGGAAGGUUGAUGGGAGCAGCUGGAGCUCGGGGGAGAGCCACAGCACCGCAGUUCUGCAGGCGGACGGCCUCUACAGCUGGAGCAGCACGCUGAGCCUCCACCCGGAGCAGUGGAAGAACAAGGUGGUGACCUGUGAGGCCUCCAAGGACAACCAACCACCUGUGGUGAGCACAGUGAACACAGAGCAGUGCUGAGAGCUGUGAGCUCACACACACGUUACUCAGCUCACCUUCUACUGCUUCACUGUGUGUUCCAUGUGGCCUUUACUGCUCAAAUGUCCCACUUUCAUCAUUUCAUCUGAGUUAUUGACAUGUGAGCUCACACACUCCUCACUUUAACUCAGCUCUUCUUCUCAUCACCUAAAUAUGUGUUAAGUGUGUGUAUCACUGCAAUGUCCUGCUUUGAAUUAUUAAUAAAAGCCUUUUGAAUCAGUAAA